UACGAAGGGUGCAAGCGUUACUCGGAAUUACUGGGCGUAAAGCGUGCGUAGGUGGUUGUUUAAGUCUGUUGUGAAAGCCCUGGGCUCAACCUGGGAAUUGCAGUGGAUACUGGGCGACUAGAGUGUGGUAGAGGGUAGUGGAAUUCCCGGUGUAGCAGUGAAAUGCGUAGAGAUCGGGAGGAACAUCCAUGGCGAAGGCAGCUACCUGGACCAACACUGACGCUGAGGAGCGAAAGCGUGGGGAGCGAACAGG
RNAcentral lists this ribosomal RNA (253 nucleotides) under uncultured bacterium. Its description in RNAcentral is "partial 16S ribosomal RNA". It matches the Rfam family "Bacterial small subunit ribosomal RNA", at positions 524 to 776 of the family's 1533-position model. The record is from RNAcentral.